GACGGUAAGGUAUUGGCUUACCGUGGCAGUGACGGUUAACGGGGAAUUAGGGUUCAAUUCCGGAGAGGGAGCCUGAGAAACGGCUACCACAUCUAAGGAAGGCAGCAGGCGCGCAAAUUACCCAAUUCUAACAGCAUAAGAGAGGUAGUGACAAGAAAUAACAGUACAAGGCAGUUAAAAUGCUUUGUAAUUGGAAUGAUAGAAAUUUAAAUACUUUUUAAAGUAUCAAUUGGAGGGCAAGUCUGGUGCCAGCAGCCGCGGUAAUUCCAGCUCCAAUAGCGUAUAUUAAAAUUGUUGCAGUUAAAAAGCUCGUAGUUGAAUUUUUGCUAAAAAUAACCGGUCUGCUAUUAUUACUAAAAGUGGUAUCUUGGUGUGUUUUUAGCAAUAAUGUCCUUUGAAAUGUUUUUUACUUUAAUGUAAAAAGCAAUUUUCAGGAUUUUUACUUUGAGAAAAUUAGAGUGUUUCAAGCAGGCUAACGUUUUGA
RNAcentral lists this ribosomal RNA (484 nucleotides) under Hepatozoon sp. RNAcentral describes it as "bacterial SSU rRNA". It matches the Rfam family "Eukaryotic small subunit ribosomal RNA", at positions 324 to 798 of the family's 1831-position model. Lineage: Eukaryota; Apicomplexa; Hepatozoidae. The record is from RNAcentral.